GGGCCGGUAGCUCAACCUGGUAGGGCGCCUGCCUUGCACGCAGGAGAUUGUGGGUUCAAAUCCCACCCGGUCCA
Molecule: transfer RNA, 74 nt
Filed under: Candidatus Woesearchaeota archaeon
Lineage: Archaea; Nanobdellati; Candidatus Woesearchaeota
Description: tRNA-Ala
Rfam family: tRNA
About the family: Transfer RNA (tRNA) molecules are approximately 80 nucleotides in length. Their secondary structure includes four short double-helical elements and three loops (D, anti-codon, and T loops).
Source: RNAcentral